RNAcentral lists this ribosomal RNA (473 nucleotides) under uncultured Glomus. RNAcentral describes it as "SSU rRNA". It matches the Rfam family "Eukaryotic small subunit ribosomal RNA", at positions 569 to 1049 of the family's 1831-position model. Lineage: Eukaryota; Fungi; Glomeromycota; Glomeromycetes; Glomerales; Glomeraceae. The record is from RNAcentral.
AGCAGCCGCGGUAAUUCCAGCUCCAAUAGCGUAUAUUAAAGUUGUUGCAGUUAAAAAGCUCGUAGUUGAAUUUCGGGAUCAAUAUGUUGGUCGUGCCUCGGUACGUACUAGCUUAUUGGUUUCUCCUUUCUGAAGAACCAUGAUGUCAUUUAUUUGGUGUCGUGGGGAAUCAGGACUGUUACUUUGAAAAAUUAGAGUGUUUAAAGCAGGCUCACGCUUGAAUACAUUAGCAUGGAAUAAUGAAAUAGGACGUUUGAUUCUAUUUUGUUGGUUUCUAGGAUCGACGUAAUGAUUAAUAGGGAUAGUUGGGGGCAUUAGUAUUCAAUUGUCAGAGGUGAAAUUCUUGGAUUUAUUGAAGACUAACUACUGCGAAAGCAUUUGCCAAGGAUGUUUUCAUUAAUCAAGAACGAAAGUUAGGGGAUCGAAGACGAUCAGAUACCGUCGUAGUCUUAACCAUAAACUAUGCCGACUAG